RNAcentral lists this ribosomal RNA (459 nucleotides) under uncultured bacterium. Its description in RNAcentral is "partial 16S ribosomal RNA". It matches the Rfam family "Bacterial small subunit ribosomal RNA", at positions 338 to 795 of the family's 1533-position model. The record is from RNAcentral.
CCUACGGGUGGCAGCAGUGAGGAAUAUUGGUCAAUGGGCGGAAGCCUGAACCAGCCAAGUCGCGUGAGGGAAUAAGGCCCUACGGGUCGUAAACCUCUUUUGCCGGGAGCAAGGGCCGGGACGCGUCCCGGCCCUGCGAGUACCCGGAGAAAAAGCAUCGGCUAACUCCGUGCCAGCAGCCGCGGUAAUACGGAGGAUGCGAGCGUUAUCCGGAUUUAUUGGGGUAAAAGGGUGCGUAGGCGGGCUUUUAAGUCAGCGGUAAAAUUUCGGGGCUCAACCCCGUCCGGCCGUUGAAACUGGGGGCCUUGAGUGGGCGAGAAGAAGGCGGAAUGCGUGGUGUAGCGGUGAAAUGCAUAGAUAUCACGCAGAACCCCGAUUGCGAAGGCAGCCUGCCGGCGCCCUACUGACGCUGAGGCACGAAAGUGCGGGGAUCGAACAGGAUUAGAUACCCCAGUAGUC